This 21-nucleotide microRNA is filed under the name Vitis vinifera (wine grape). Its description in RNAcentral is "vvi-miR3625-3p". Lineage: Eukaryota; Viridiplantae; Streptophyta; Magnoliopsida; Vitales; Vitaceae. The record is from miRBase by way of RNAcentral.
CGGGAGAUGACUACUGGAAGC